Molecule: non-coding RNA, 6061 nt
Organism: Pelobates cultripes (western spadefoot toad)
Lineage: Eukaryota; Metazoa; Chordata; Amphibia; Anura; Pelobatidae
Source: the annotation of a GenBank genome assembly
GACGAAAUUUACCUUGAAAGACUCCUGAACGCUCUCUACUGGUAUCGUAUACAAUUUGGUUGGAGACAGCACCGGAGAAUUAAAAGACCGGGAGCAUCGAGUGCUGGGAAUAUAUAUAUAUAUAUAAAUUUUUUUUUUCCUAUUUUUUUUAUUUUUUUUCCUAUAAAAUAUACUUUCAGUUGUGUUGAUGUAACACAGGAACUGGGUAUUCUUUCCACAAGUUGCUAAUUAGUGUAUGAAUCUCCAAACAAUGCUUAAUAUCUACUGUAUUUUCUGUUGCUUUCUAAAUAUUUUUGUGUGAAAUACAAUUCUCUGCUUUCAUUUAUGAAACCAUGAAAAGAACCAUAUUAACUUAAUAUUAAUUUGAAAGCUAUUGUGCCUUUAUUUUUUAUGUUUGGCAAAUACCAGUUGCCAUAUUAGUAUUAUGCACACAAAUUGACUUAAAGGGACACUAUAGUCACCUAAACAACUUAAGCUUAGUAAAGCAGUUUUUGUGUAUUGAUAAUACAUCUGAAGUCUCACUGCUCAAUUCUCUGCCACAUAGGAGUUAAAUUACACCUGUUUCUGUCCUUGCAGCCCUAGCCACACAUCUACUGGCUGUGACAAACACGAAAAAAAAAAAGUUUUUAUCUCCCAUCUGUAAAUUGAACUUUAUUCACAUACAGGAGACCCCUACCCUACAGGGUCUAGCAAGUCAUUAACAGAGCAUAAGAUAAGAGAUAUAUCAAAUUAAGCAGAAUUUGCAAUAAAGCACAUGUAAAUAUUAGAUGACUCUUUACAGGAAGUAUUUAGGAAGGCUUGGUAAGUCACAUGUAUAAGGUGUGACUAGGGCUGAAUAAACAAAGCACAUCUAACUUCUAAAUGACAGAGAAUUGAGCAGUGAGACUGCGGGGGCAUGAUGGGCAUUCAUUACACUAAAGUUGUUUUGGUGACUAUAGUGUCCCUUUACUAUUGUUGAGUAAUGGCAUCCCACGGGUUCACGAUUUGCCUUACAAAUUGAACUCUUAAACCAUAUGAUAGAUGUGGAUGUUGAAUAAUAAUGUGCACAGAAUACAGCACAAUUCACUAAGGCUUCCUGCUUAACCCACCUCUUUCCUAUCUUCGUCUUCUCCACUACUCUACUCUACAGCAGCAAUGUCUAGUAAGAAACACCUUUAUAUGGGGGAAAAAAAUACAAUUCUGCACAUGGUUUUUAUCAUUCGAAUUUGUUUUGUAAAAUCCGUGUGGUUCUAUCACUUGUAGAAACUGUGAAAAUGAAAUGUGAGUGUGUAUUUUAAGUGAUAAGGUCAUUAAUUUGUCCUGGAUGUGACUACAGUACUAUGAAUACAAUGUAACUACAGUGGAUGUUAGUGCUAUAGUCCGUAAAAACCAGGGCUGUGGAGUCGGUAACAAUUGUGGGUUAGUGACUCUGACUAAAUGUACAGUAUAAGCCGACCGCCAAAAACUAGAGGUGUUCUAUAGGUUUAGGCCUAUAUUCGACUGAUCGAUAAUGUAAAUCGUUUGAACUUCUGCUAGCCCUAUGGUUUUGUACAAUUGUGAUUUGGGCAAAGACUAGGCAGAAAUAAACAAAUAGAAAAUUAUAAAUGUUUUACUUACUACAUUCUGUUAUGAUAGGUUAUUUUAUUAUUAUUAUUAUUAUUAUUAUUUAUAUUCGCUUGUAGUUUACUACCUUUUGCUGGUAGGUGGUGUGUAUGUGUGCAAUAGUGCAUAUCUCUCCAGCCAGUCAUCCGUGUCUUACAUACAAAUUAUACGAUACCACAAGAGGUAGUGUCAUCUGCUAGAUCUCCUGAAAUUUGUAAUAAUAAUAUGUGUAUUAAGAGUACAUAAUAGUUCCUCAGCAUAUUCAGUUGAGUGAUAACAUUAAUGGUAAGUCUUUAAGUAAUUCCAUAUCUUUAGAAGAGAAGUAAGCAAGAGAUAUAAGAUGGGUGGAAUCAUUGCAUGUCUCAGGAAGGCAUUGGCCCAAGGCCUUCUUUUCAUCCUGGUCUAGGUAUUAACAACUUUGUUUGGCAUAUUGGUCUACCCUCUUAUAAUAUUUGUUUUAGCUUAAUAUGUCGACUUACUUGUAUGGUAAAUUGUAAUACAGUAAUUAUAAUGAUAUAUUAGUGCCCACAUUUUUUAAAACCGUUUGGAAAAUGUGAAUUUCUGAGAUUUGAUGGAUCAUAACAGCUGUCUUUUUUUGAAUACUGCUAUAAAAUUAUAUUUUAUUAGUUUAAUUUUAUAAAGAAUGUAAUGCAACCACUUUAUUUGAAACAAAUUGCAAUUUUAAAAGAAGUUAUACAAAAAAAAACAUGGUAAAUCAUAUUUCAUACCUGCUUACUAUUUAGUACAGAGUUGGGAAACGUGCCGCAAUUACAGCUAUAAAAUGGCGUCCCGUGGAGUGAACCAGGUGUUUCAGUUCAUCAGGUGAUGUAAUGUGAAAUGUUGUGUGAUUGCCUCUAUAAUUUGGCUCAAUUAUAUCACACGUAUUUUUGCCAUUUAGAGUACCGUCAGUCAUACAAAAUCUGUCCACAACAUUGGCUGUCAUGACACCCUAGGUGAUAACGCUAACUGGGUGCUUUAUGGCAGCUGUAAUGCAUUCAGAGGGCAAAUCCUCUCCAAUUUUUCUUCUUACAUACUUUAUUCCUUCACCACCAAUUAUCAAUAUUAUUGUCUCUUUACUCCAGAUGACCCUAUCCCAUUGUUCCUCAGACAAAUUGACAUCCCUUUAGUGCAUUCUAAUCUCUUCCUUCUUAGGAUGUAGAAAUCAUUUUCUCCUUGGAAUUCUAGAACUUUAAAUAUUUGUCUCUGCGUCUAAAAGUUCUAGCACUCAUCUUCAAACCACAUUGCGACAAUUAAUUUUUAUUUAACUCAGGUAAUUUUCUUCUGCCACUUUAAACACAGUAUCUUAAUUAUUCUAUCACUACCCUGUGCUGUGUACCUUUUCCCAAUUUGGUUUUGAAUUGAAUUGUCAGAUACCUCUUGCACAGCUUAGGUUAGAUUUCCUCAUAAGGGUUGCUUUCUUUAUGCAGUGUUAUUUUACAUUGCUUUCUAGGUGAAAAAAUAUUGGCCAAUGUAAUGACACUAACACAAACGAAUAGGAGUCCUAUUAUUUGCUCUAAUUAAUACAUGAAUUUGGGAACUGACUAGUACUAAUACCUUCUUUGUUUCAUGCUGUGUCAUAGUAACACCUGAUUGACAAUCCAUCUCAUUGGUCUGUUUUAAGUUAAAGGGAUCCUAUAGUGCCAGGCACUAUUGACUCUUGGAGAGCCCCCCAUCCUCGGGUCCUCCUCUCUCAGCCACUUACCUUAAUCCAUUGCCGGGCUCCCUCGGCGCUGGUGACCUCUCCUCCCCCGCCGAAAUCAGCUCCCGAGUGGAGCCGAAUGCACAUGUGCAGCCAGUGGCGUGCGCGCAUACAAACCCGCCCGUAGGAAAGCAUUACCUAAAGCUUUCCUAUGGGGAUCUUAUCUGAUGCUGGGCUCCAUCAGAUAAGUGUGAUUUAUUCAGUGUAAAUCACGGAAGCGGCCUCUAGUGGCUGACAGGGAGACAGCCACUAGAGGCUGGAUUAACCCUGCAGUGUAAACAUAGCAGGGUUAAAACUAGGGGGACCUGGCACCCAGACUACUUCAUUGAGCUGAAGGAUCUGGGUGCCUACAGUGGUCCUUUAAGGACAUUCACUUCAUGUUAUAUAAGGCAAUUGUGUUUUCUAUUACUGGUUAUUUAGAAUAAAGAUAAUUCAACACAUUUGUUGCAUUACAUUGUGUAUUCAAAUAUCUGUCUAGUGAUAUGUAAUGUUAUGGCAUUAUUCUAAAGAAGUAUACAAUAAAUAGUGGUGAGAGUACACUGUAAAUUAAAUUAAAAUUUCGGAACCACUUUUGAAAAAGGCAAACCAGCCGAACGCGUCAAGUGGAGGUGGACUAUGUUUAAUUUUAUUGUAAGGUAUUCUGGCAGUUUGUUAAAUAAGGUCUGUGAUUUUAUACAUCUAUUGGAGUUUCCUUUGGGCUGCACCUUAAGAAAAAGGCUAAGCUGUGAACCCGAGUAUCCAGAUCCACCAUUCCUUAUGCUAUUCAGCUUUUCGUCUGAGCCAGCUUGUGGAGUGGCUCAGAACCAUGUGAGUGGAUCCAACAUUGAUUUGAUCAAUUAUCCAGUUUUAACUCUGUUACCCUAUGUGCAUGUCCCUUUUUGGUUUUAGAUUCAUCUAUUGUAUGUGCCGUUUGUGGUAACAUUUUAUUUACUGUGUGCUCCACUAUUUAUUGUAUAAUUCACUGUUUUCUGUGUGUUUGGAGUGAUACACACGGUGAUUGUAGCACCCUUUGUUCUGUGUUUUACCAACUUUACUUUUUAUUAUUUUCUGAUUAUUCUAAAGAAUACGCAUUAAACAUUGAAAAUUUUGUCUCCCCAAUAGUUUUCCACAAUUUUGGCCAUGACUUUCAUAUAAUAUAAUGUUAGUCGUAGGUAUUUUAAAUUAAGGAGUCAAAGGUUUUGAAUGCAAACUCCACAGCUUUUACCCACUUAAUACUCAAAAUAAUGCCUGUCUUAAAAGGGCAUAAUGGAUGCCCGUACAACUUUCAAUAUGUGAAUUAGAGAGACUUUUUCAAUCCUUGCUAUUUUGGCCCAAAAUUUAAUAUUCACUUUGAAUUCCAGACAAUUCUUGUUUUAGUGAAUAACGCUGAAAUUGUGUAGAAUUAUAAUUGCAUCUGAUCUAAUCCCAGUUUGACCCUUAAUUUGUUUUUAGUGAAUUUUCUGUUCAAAUGUGUGGAUAUACCCUAUAAUCUGAAACUCCAUUCAAUUGUAAACCUUAAAGGAACACUCCAGGUACGAAAACCACUACAGAGCACUGUAGCGGUUAUGCUGCCAGGAAUACUCUACUUCCCCACAAUGUAAGUAGUCAAACAGUUUGAUUUCCUACUGGGGUCUGCUGGUCCCUGCCUCUAUUAGAGUUGGAAGCUGAUAAGAAAAAAUUCCUACCCACAUGGUCCUAUUUUUAGGGUUAAGCUUGAUUUGCCCCUUAAGUCUUCUCUAUCUUUUAUUAGAGUUGGAAGCUCCCUGCCUGAGCUAAGCCCAGUGUUGCAGGUCUGAGUUUAUUGGCUGAGAGCGAUCAGCUGAUGCUCUGUUAGUAAGCUGGCGCUGCACUGCAGGGGUUAGCUCAGGAGAGCUAUAAGAAGAUUCUAGCAGGAGCUUCCGACUUACCAUAGCAAAAGUGGAAAAACAAUAAGUAACUAAUCAUUUGUUUUUGUAUGAUAUGUGCACACUUGGUAACAAUCGUCAUUGUACUUUUACUAUAUUAAAAUAAGCUUCAACUGCCUUGUUUCCUUUUAACAAUGUGACUGAAAUCUGUGUUUUAUGCUUUGGUUAGAGUUUGUGUUUUUUGUACAACUAUAUAUGAAGAAUAGAAUUCACUGUGUUUAAUUGAUAAACUGUUGCAACCUCUGUGAGCAUCUGCUUGUCAUGCAUUUUGCGACAGUCCAGUUCUCUUUGCUUUUAUAAGCACUUGCCAUGAUGUUUCCAUAUUUACAUACCCCUCAAAUUCUAUUACUCUUUACUUUUUUCUUUUGGAAGUGUAUCUUAAUGGAGUUAUCUUAGAGUUUCUAAAAGGCAUCAAAAUUCCCGUAUCAUGGCAGCCCUUAAUUGGAAUUCAGUUGAGUAUGCACCUGUAGGUAUAAGGCAGGUGGGUAUUUGCAGUACCAGCAGAGAACACAAAGUAAGUGCCUUACUUCUUGUAUGGUAGCUUUGUUGGCAAAUUUAAGUUUUGAACGGCAGCAUCCGACUUCUGAAAUUAACUUUCAGGAAGGGCAGAGUGUAGUAGGGCAGGAGUGCCACUGAUUUGUCUUGUGCAAUCAGCUAAUGCUCUAAGCAAAUCAGUAGUUCUCCAUUCAUAAAAAAGGGCUGCUGAUUUGUGACCAGUGCAGAGUGUCUCUUUAAAGGACCACUCUAGGCACCCAGACCACCUCAGCUUAAUGAAGUGGUCUGGGUGCCUGGUCCAGCUAGGGUUAACCCAUUUUUUCAUAAACAUAGCAGUUUCAGAGAAACUGCUAUGUUUAUGAAUGGGUUAAGCCUUCCCCCUAAUCCUCUAGUGGCUGUCUCA